Molecule: unclassified non-coding RNA, 298 nt
Filed under: plant metagenome
Description: partial contains 5.8S ribosomal RNA, internal transcribed spacer 2, and large subunit ribosomal RNA
Rfam family: 5.8S ribosomal RNA (bases 1-105)
Source: RNAcentral
GAAAUGCGAUAAGUAAUGUGAAUUGCAGAAUUCAGUGAAUCAUCGAAUCUUUGAACGCACAUUGCGCCCCCUGGUAUUCCGGGGGGCAUGCCUGUUCGAGCGUCAUUUCACCGCUCAAGCCUCGCUUGGUAUUGGGCAACGCGGUCCGCCGCGUGCCUCAAAUCGACCGGCUGGGUCUUCUGUCCCCUAAGCGUUGUGGAAACUAUUCGCUAAAGGGUGUUCGGGAGGCUACGCCGUAAAACAACCCCAUUUCUAAGGUUGACCUCGGAUCAGGUAGGGAUACCCGCUGAACUUAAGC